This is a non-coding RNA of Podarcis muralis (Common wall lizard), 1740 nucleotides long. The record is from RefSeq and is a predicted model, not a curated record. Lineage: Eukaryota; Metazoa; Chordata; Lepidosauria; Squamata; Lacertidae.
UGGAAAUGGGGAUGCUACAUUGUAAAGACAGUUUUCAGUACAAUCCUACAGUCUACUUGAAAGUAAUUUAACUCAAUGAGGCUUACUUCCCAAUGACAUUGACUUGUCAGAACUACCAGCCCCUGAUGAAUAUGAACAGCUAUGGAGGCGAGACAUUGUGUGUGUCUUGGACUUGAUAAAGAAGUCAAGGGUGAGUGCACAGAGGUCACGGCUGGCGUAGCUCUCGAUGCAGCGGCAACAGAAACGCUAUCAGAAAACAUCUGCCUCCUCCCCCAAACACGCCAGGUGUCAAACGCUCAGGGCUCAACAUGGCAGCCAUAUUCUGACACAGCUUUACGGGAUGGCUUGCCUCCUGAUCCCCCAAGGAACACUGAAGCAUGAACGGAUCAUAAAGCCACCAUGAGCAGCAUUACAGGUUGUAUGAUUUGUUAUUCUCCAUUAUUUCCCCUCAGUUCCAUGGCCCAAGAAUCAUGUUAUUUGAGACAAUUCCGGUGCUAAUAUUAAGGAGCCAGGUCCAAGGUGGAGAUAAUGAUGGUCAACAUAGAUUUAUUCAAGAGCAGAGUCCUGACACUCAAGGAGGAUGCAAAACAGGGCUAGUGAGGGUGUGGCUUAGGGAGAAGGGGUGUGGCUUAGGCAGAGGUCAUGGCCUAUAGCAAGGGCCUUAUUCAGCUUCUGGGCUGUCCCUGCCCUACACCUAAACCUGUUUAUAUGAAAUCGGCUUCACUGAAAUUGAGUUGAAUUCCAAGCAAGUGUGUUCAUUCUUCAAGGCUGGGGAUAUGGCAGUUUGGGUUAAGUGGUAGAUUCCUGUGCAAAUCUUGCUUCUGUGUGCAAUAUUUGACACAAGGAUUACAAUUUAUAUUUGCACCUCUUAUUAGUAUCCAUCAAGGUGCUUUACUCCUUGGAUCCUCAUGAAAACUAAGCAAGCCAGUUCAUCUUUCCAUUUGCUCUAUGUUUAAAAAUAAAAGAAAUCAAUAGUAUUCCACUUCUGUAUCAUAAUUUUUUUUUAACUCCUGAUCGGUAAUUUUAUGACCUGAAGGUCAUGGCUAUUGAAAGCUGAGGUCUAGUCUGAUUAAUCCACCAUGUCGGCUCCGUAUUACAAGAUCUUUCAUUGUCUUCAAUUAAAGUGCUGAAAAUGAAUACCACCUGUGCACUCAUAGUUACAAUGUCAAUAAAGUCCAUUAUAAUUAUACACCGCUUGAUGACAAAUGACAUGCCGAAGGGGUGACAAGCUCAUUUUGGUUUGGGUGGAGAGCAGAGAGAGCUCUUCUGUGAACUGGGAACAUCUAUUUUUGUCCAAUCUUGGUCACACCAAAAAGGGAGGAAAAUCCUUCUGUGACCUAUCUCCCCCCUACCAGCUUUAAACUGUACAAAAUAUUUAUGGUAAUUAGAGGUUCCCCAACUCAGCACCAUAAAUGCAAGAGCAGUCAAAGAAGACCAUCUGUUCAGUCUUCUGGCUGAAAGGCAAAGGCCACCCACCUCUCCAACCUGUGCAUACCCCAGGACAUAUAGGUAUGGGUGCUGCUUAUAGAACAAAUGGUACUAAGAUAGCUCAAGCAAGUGAGACAAACUGUAUGCAACAUGGGGAUUCUGGCACCAAUUCUCAGCCAGGCCUGUGGGUAGCUAUAAUGCAAAACUGAAACUGGAAGCCAUGCUCUUGUCAUCUUAGGGUGCUUGUUUUCAGUGACUAGACCCUUAGAGCCAAGGGAUGCAUUAUUAUUAUUAUUAUUAUUAUUAUUAUUA